This 1786-nucleotide ribosomal RNA is filed under the name Pinus taeda (loblolly pine). Its description in RNAcentral is "SSU rRNA". It matches the Rfam family "Eukaryotic small subunit ribosomal RNA". Lineage: Eukaryota; Viridiplantae; Streptophyta; Pinopsida; Pinales; Pinaceae. The record is from RNAcentral.
CCUGGUUGAUCCUGCUAGUAGUCAUAUGCUUGUCUCAAAGAUUAAGCCAUGCAUGUCUAAGUAUGAACUAAUUCAGACUGUGAAACUGCAGAUGGCUCAUUAAAUCAAUUAUAAUUUUUUUUAUGGUACCAUACUACUUGGAUAACCAUAGUAAUUCUAUAGCUAAUACGUGCUCCAAGUCCCGACUCUUUGGAAGUGAUGCAUUUUUUAGAUAAAAGGCCGGCACGGGCUUGCCCGCUUCUCCAGUGAAUCAUGAUAUCUCGACAGAUCAUACAGCCCUUUUGUUGGUGAUGCUUCAUUCAAAUUUUUGCCCUAUCAACUUUCAAUGGUAGGAUAGAGGCCUACCAUGGUGGUGAUGGGUGACGGAGAAUUAGGGUUCGAUUCCGGAGAGGGAGCCUGAGAAAUGGCUACCACAUCCAAGGAUGGCAGUAAGCGCGCAAAUUACCCAAUCCUGACAUGGAGAGGUAGUGACAAUAAAUAACAAUACUGGGCUCAUUAGGUCUGGUAAUUGGAAUGAGUACAAUCUAAAUCCCUUAACGAGGAUCCAUUGGAGGGAAAGUCUGGUGCCAGUAGCCACAGUAAUUCCAGCUCCAAUAGCAUAUAUUUAAGUUGUUGUAGUUAAAAAGCUCGUAGUGGGAUCUUAGGUCAUGAAGGUCAGUCUGCCUACUCGGUGUGCGCCUGCCCUUCUGUCGCUUUUGUCGAUGAUGUGCUCUUGGCCUUAAUUGGCACUAUUACUUUGAAAAAAAUAGAGUUCUCAAAGCAAGCUUAUGCUCCGAAUACAUUAGCAUGGAAUAACGUGAUAGGAGUCUGGUCCUACUGUGUUGGCCUUUAGGACCGGAGUAAUGAUUAAUAGGGACUGUCGAGGGCAUUCGUAUUUCAUCGUCAGAGGUGAAAUUCUUGGAUUUAUAAAAGACAGACCACUGUGAAAGAAUUUUCCAAGGAUGUUUUCAUUAAUUAAGAAAGAAAGUUGGGGGCUCGAAGUCAAUCAGAUACCGUCCUAGUCUCAACCAUAAACGAUGCCGACCAGGGAUAAACGGAUGUUGCUCUAAGGACUCUGCCAGCACCUUUUUAGAAAUAAGAGUGUUUAGGUUUCGGGGGGAGUAUGGUCGCAAGGCUAAAACUUAAAGGAAUUGAUGGAAGGGCACCACCAGGAGUGGAGCCUGCGGAUUAAUUUGACUCAACAUGGGGAAACUUACCAAGUCCAGAAAUAGUAAGGAUUGAUAGAUUGAAAGCUCUUUCUUGAUUCUAUGGGUGGUGGUGCAUGGUCGUUCUUAGGUGGUGGAGCAAUUUGUCUAGUUAAUUCUGAUAACAAAUGAGACCUCAGCCUGCUAACUGGCUACGUGGAGGUUCCCAUUCGCAGCCAACUUUUUAGAGGGACUAUGGCUGUUUAGGCCAUGGAAGUUUGAGGAAAUAACAGGUUUGUGAUGCCCUUAGAUUUUCUGGGCCACACGCGCGCUACACCGAUGCAGCCAACGAGUUUUUCUUCCUGGUUCAAGAGGAUCGGGAAAUCUUCUCAAAUUGCAUCAUGAUGGGGAUAGACCAUUGCAAUUAUUGGUCUUCAACGAGGAAUUCCUAGUAAGUGUGUGUCAUCAACUUGUGUUGACUACAUCCAUGCCCUUUGUACACACCGCUCAUCGCUCCUAUUGAUUGAAUGAUCUGGUCAAGUGUUUGGAUUGUGUCGACGAUGGUGGUUUGCCACCAUCGAUAUCGUGAGAAGUUCAUUGAACCUUAUCAUUUAGAGGAAGGAGAAGUUGUAACAAGGUUACCAUAGGUGAACCUACAGUAG